AACGAACGCUGGCGGCAGGCCUAACACAUGCAAGUCGAGCGAGGACUUCGGUCCUAGCGGCGGACGGGUGAGUAACGCGUGGGAACGUGCCCUUUGCUUCGGAAUAGCCCUGGGAAACUGGGAGUAAUACCGGAUGAGCCCUUUGGGGGAAAGAUUUAUCGGCGAAGGAUCGGCCCGCGUUGGAUUAGGUAGUUGGUGGGGUAAUGGCCUACCAAGCCGACGAUCCAUAGCUGGUUUGAGAGGAUGAUCAGCCACACUGGGACUGAGACACGGCCCAGACUCCUACGGGAGGCAGCAGUUGGGAAUCUUAGACAAUGGGGGAAACCCUGAUCUAGCCAUGCCGCGUGAGCGAUGAAGGCCUUAGGGUUGUAAAGCUCUUUCAGCUGGGAAGAUAAUGACGGUACCAGCAGAAGAAGCCCCGGCUAACUCCGUG
RNAcentral lists this ribosomal RNA (433 nucleotides) under uncultured bacterium. RNAcentral describes it as "partial 16S ribosomal RNA". It matches the Rfam family "Bacterial small subunit ribosomal RNA", at positions 29 to 507 of the family's 1533-position model. The record is from RNAcentral.